RNAcentral lists this ribosomal RNA (253 nucleotides) under uncultured bacterium. RNAcentral describes it as "partial 16S ribosomal RNA". It matches the Rfam family "Bacterial small subunit ribosomal RNA", at positions 524 to 776 of the family's 1533-position model. The record is from RNAcentral.
UACAGAGGUCCCAAGCGUUGUUCGGAUUCACUGGGCGUAAAGGGUGCGUAGGCGGUCGGGUAAGUUUGAUGUGAAAUCUCCGGGCUUAACCCGGAAAUGGCAUUGAAUACUAUUCGGCUAGAGAGUCGGAGGGGGGACUGGAAUACUUGGUGUAGCAGUGAAAUGCGUAGAUAUCAAGUGGAACACCAGUGGCGAAGGCGAGUCCCUGGACGAUUUCUGACGCUGAGGCACGAAAGCUAGGGGAGCAAACAGG